CUGCAGCUCAAGUGGUGGCCGCUAUUAUUGGGCCUAAAACGUCCGUAGCCUGUUUAGUAAAUGCUUGGGUAAAUUGUGUAGCUUAACUAUACGAAUACCGGGUAGACUGCUAAACUUGGGACCGGGAGAGGCUAGAGGUACUCCUGGGGUAGAGGUGAAAUUCUGUAAUCCUGGGGGGACCACCAGUGGCGAAGGCGUCUAGCUAGAACGGGUCUGACGGUGAGGGACGAAGCCCUGGGGCGCAAACCGGAUUAGAUACCCGAGUAGUCC
RNAcentral lists this ribosomal RNA (270 nucleotides) under uncultured archaeon. RNAcentral describes it as "partial 16S ribosomal RNA". It matches the Rfam family "Archaeal small subunit ribosomal RNA", at positions 477 to 747 of the family's 1478-position model. The record is from RNAcentral.